GUUGUAUGGUUAAGUGACUAAGCGUACACGGUGGAUGCCUUGGCAGUCAGAGGCGAUGAAAGACGUAGUAACUUGCGAUAAGCCCAGAUUAGGUAGUAACAACCAUUUGAGUCUGGGAUUUCUGAAUGGGGAAACCCACGUGCAUAAGCACGUAUCCUUACCUGAAUACAUAGGGUAAGGAGGCGAACCGGGGGAACUGAAACAUCUAAGUACCCCGAGGAAAAGAAAUCAACCGAGAUUCCGAAAGUAGCGGCGAGCGAAAUUGGACUAGCCCUUAAGCUUUACACGCGUUAGACGAACGGUCUGGAAAGUCCGACGAUACAGGGUGAUAGUCCCGUAGUUGACGACGUGUGUUCAGUGAAAUCGAGUAGGGCGGGACACGUGAUAUCCUGUCUGAAUAUGGGGGGACCAUCCUCCAAGGCUAAAUACUACUGACUGACCGAUAGUGAACCAGUACCGUGAGGGAAAGGCGAAAAGAACCCCUGUGAGGGGAGUGAAAUAGAACCUGAAACCGUGUACGUACAAGCAGUAGGAGCAGGCUUUGUCCUGUGACUGCGUACCUUUUGUAUAAUGGGUCAGCGACUUAUAUUCAGUGGCAAGGUUAACCAUCUAGGGGAGCCGUAGGGAAACCGAGUCUUAACUGGGCGUUCAGUCUCUGGAUAUAGACCCGAAACCAGGUGAUCUAGCCAUGGGCAGGUUGAAGGUUGAGUAACAUCAACUGGAGGACCGAACCGACUAAUGUUGAAAAAUUAGCGGAUGACUUGUGGCUAGGGGUGAAAGGCCAAUCAAACCUGGAGAUAGCUGGUUCUCCCCGAAAGCUAUUUAGGUAGCGCCUCGGACGAAUACUACUGGGGGUAGAGCACUGUUAAGGCUAGGGGGUCAUCCCGACUUACCAACCCUUUGCAAACUCCGAAUACCAGUAAGUACUAUCCGGGAGACACACGGCGGGUGCUAACGUCCGUCGUGGAGAGGGAAACAACCCAGACCGCCAGCUAAGGUCCCAAAUUACUACUAAGUGGGAAACGAUGUGGGAAGGCUCAGACAGCCAGGAUGUUGGCUUAGAAGCAGCCAUCAUUUAAAGAAAGCGUAAUAGCUCACUGGUCGAGUCGGCCUGCGCGGAAGAUGUAACGGGGCUAAGUAG
This 1141-nucleotide ribosomal RNA is filed under the name Vibrio parahaemolyticus. RNAcentral describes it as "partial 23S ribosomal RNA". It matches the Rfam family "Bacterial large subunit ribosomal RNA", at positions 1 to 1189 of the family's 2925-position model. Lineage: Bacteria; Pseudomonadati; Pseudomonadota; Gammaproteobacteria; Vibrionales; Vibrionaceae. The record is from RNAcentral.